This 1293-nucleotide long non-coding RNA is filed under the name Aotus nancymaae (Ma's night monkey). RNAcentral's name for it is "lncRNA (ENSANAG00000039289.1)". Lineage: Eukaryota; Metazoa; Chordata; Mammalia; Primates; Aotidae. The record is from RNAcentral.
GUGUGUGUACAGGUCUUAUGUGUGUAAAUAUAUACACUGUGCUUAUGUGCUAUAUAUGUGUGUGUGUGCAUGUGUGUAUACACACUGCCAGAGGUUUGUAAAGGUUAAUAUUUUAUCAAUAAGAAAAAAAGAUCAAUUUCUAAAGGUCAUUUAGAUUAUUUCCAUGAGAGAAUUUUUAAUGUUCUUCACCUGUUAAAAUUUUUAUUGGUGAUCCUUUUGAGAUUAUGAACAAACAGUCUGUCCUCAAGUAUUUAGGCAUGCUAAUAUUUACUUUGUAAAAUGUGCUUCUUACAGGAAUAUAAAUAGUUGCUGGAAAGGACACAGACAACUUCAAAGCAAAAUGAAAUUCUUUCUGGAGGUACACAGAAUGUAGAGAAUGAUAAUAGUUAUUUCUUUAUAUUCUUUGGCAAUGAAAAGAGUUAAUAUUUAUCAAGAAAUGUCAGUCAGAUAGUAAAUGUUGUGUUAGUGUGAGCUGUUCCUAUGAUUAUCAUUGAUGUACAAGACUAAAAAUUAGGUAACUAUUCUCACAGGACAACAGGUAACCUUGACAUCAUGUUUCUUUCAAUAUUGUAGUGCAUACUUCAUCAAAAAAUAAAGAAUAAAAGAAUAUUACCUGUUGAGAUAAUAAGAAUAAGAAAACCAUUGUGAGCAUUUCAUUUCACAAAUAGGACUGGGCGUGGUGGUUCCUGCUUUCAGUCUCAGCACUUGGGGAAGCUGUGGCAGGAGGAUUGCUUAAGGCCAGAAAAAAAAAAAGGGAAAAAAACAAGACCAAAACUAAUAAUAAAUAGUAUAUACUAUUACGGUACUGGUUAAAAUACUUUAAAGUCCUUAUGAAAAUUCAUAUUUUUCCUAAAUUUCUACUAGGUAAUUGAUCUGGGUGGUGAGCCAAUUACAAGCAGUCAGUACUUUGGAAAUGGCCGGGCGACAGAAUUCAAGUAUGGUGCAAAACUCGGCACAGUUAUUCGCAAGUGGGAUGGAGAGAAGAUGUGUUACUUAAAGAACUGGGGAGAAGGUUGGGGUUUCAUGCCUUCUGACAGAGCACUUGUCUUUGUGGAUAACCAUGACAAUCAACGAGGACAUGGGGCCGGAGGAGCUUCUAUUCUUACCUUCUGGGACGCUAGGCUGUAUAAAAUGGCAGUUGGAUUUAUGCUGGCUCAUCCUUAUGGAUUUACACGAGUGAUGUCAAGCUACCAUUGGGCAAGACAUUCUGAAAAUGGAAAAAUAAGUUUUGGAGUUAUUCAAAAUAUCAUGUUUUCAAGAAAAAGGAGGAUAUUCUGUCCUAAGUUAAUAUGA